RNAcentral lists this ribosomal RNA (253 nucleotides) under uncultured bacterium. RNAcentral's name for it is "partial 16S ribosomal RNA". It matches the Rfam family "Bacterial small subunit ribosomal RNA", at positions 524 to 776 of the family's 1533-position model. The record is from RNAcentral.
GACGAACCGAGCGAACGUUGUUCGGAAUAACUGGGCUUAAAGGGCGCGUAGGCGGGCCGCCAAGUUCGAGGUGAAAUCCUCCGGCUCAACCGGAGAACUGCCUCGAAUACUGGAGGCCUCGAGGCGGGUAGGGGCACGCGGAACUGUGGGUGGAGCGGUGAAAUGCAUUGAUAUCCACAGGAACUCCGGUGGCGAAGGCGGCAUCUUGGACCGGCAUUGACGCUGAGGAGCGAAAGCCAGGGGAGCAAACGGG